RNAcentral lists this long non-coding RNA (460 nucleotides) under Brassica napus (rape). Its description in RNAcentral is "long non-coding RNA (BNAP_LNC009551)". Lineage: Eukaryota; Viridiplantae; Streptophyta; Magnoliopsida; Brassicales; Brassicaceae. The record is from RNAcentral.
UUCUUAAACUCCAGCUUUAAUUUAAUUAUUAAACCCCACCCCACCUCUCCUCCCACUCCGUCUCAUUUACUCAGAUUCACGAACGGCGUCUGUAACAGCUACAAACUCGACCUAUAAAUUAGUAUUUUGGAAGCAAUGGAGACCUACACUGUUCAGACAUUUGAUAGCCUAAACCAUCUUAAGCAUGCAUCGCCUUCAAAUAUGUAGGCUUCAUACGUUCUUCUCGGCAACCUGAAAGGACGUCUGUCUGUUGAGGUGGUCUGAGGUUCUCGAUGAGCAGGUAACCCCGACCACUUAUCUUUUCUUAUGACUGCCAAAUGAAUUUUUCGCAAACCUUAAUGUGUUAAAUUUUUUUGUUUAUUCUUGUCUACGCUUAUCCAAGGAACCAUCAACUCAAGCCGCGUCGAUACGUUCCGACUCUCUGACUCUCCUGUCUCCAUCCGUUUCACUGACGGAACGU